GAGUUCAUGCCCGAAAGGGUAGACCUCCCACCCUUGUGUAUUAUUACUUUGUUGCUUUGGCGAGCUGCCUUCGGGCCUUGUAUGUUCGCCGGAGAAUAUCAAAACUCUUUUUAUUAAUGUCGUCCGAGUACUAUAUAAUAGUUAAAACUCUCAACAACGGAUCUCUUGGUUCU
This 173-nucleotide unclassified non-coding RNA is filed under the name rhizosphere metagenome. RNAcentral's name for it is "partial ribosomal RNA internal transcribed spacer region". The record is from RNAcentral.